ACUUCCUUGUGCUGCUGGCUUCCUACCCUGAACUCAAAUCUGAAGAUGCUAUGGGGUCAAAUACCAUAUAUUAACGCAUAUAUGUGAAAUCUAGAAGAAUGGUACAGAUGAACGUGUUUGCAAGGCAGAAAUAGACACAGAUGCAGAGAACAAACCACAGGGAACUCUACUCAAUGGUCUGCGGUGACCUAAAUGGGAAGGAAAUCCGAAAUUACGCCGAUUCUUAAGCUGA
Long non-coding RNA from Balaenoptera ricei (Rice's whale), 232 nucleotides. RefSeq lists it as uncharacterized. The transcript is spliced from 3 exons. The record is from RefSeq and is a predicted model, not a curated record. Lineage: Eukaryota; Metazoa; Chordata; Mammalia; Artiodactyla; Balaenopteridae.